UAGGCCUACGGGGGGCAGCAGUGGGGAAUAUUGCACAAUGGGGGAAACCCUGAUGCAGCAACGCCGCGUGAGUGAAGAAGUAUUUCGGUAUGUAAAGCUCUAUCAGCAGGGAAGAAGAUGACGGUACCUGAGUAAGAAGCCCCGGCUAACUACGUGCCAGCAGCCGCGGUAAUACGGAGGAUGCGAGCGUUAUCCGGAUUUAUUGGGUUUAAAGGGUGCGCAGGCGGUCUGUUAAGUCAGCGGUCAAAGCCCGGGGCUCAACCCCGGCCCGCCGGUGAAACUGGCAGUCUCGAGUUGGAGAGAAG
Molecule: ribosomal RNA, 305 nt
Filed under: uncultured bacterium
Lineage: Bacteria
Description: bacterial SSU rRNA
Rfam family: Bacterial small subunit ribosomal RNA
Source: RNAcentral